UGUGCCACCACGUCCAGCCAUAAACCCAAACUCUUAUUUCAAGUUAAAGACUUAAUUUUCCUGUAUCAAUGAUGCUACAGAAUUGUUCCCCGCCUGCUUUCAAUUUCCAAAUCUUUCCCAAGUGAGGGAGCCUCGUAGGAGAAGCAGGCAGGUUUGAGCACAACUUGCUGACUCCUCUCACAGCUGCAUUCUCCCUCUGGUUUCCCCUAAGCAUUCAGGGCAGCGGGGGUCGGGGGGGCAAUCUUAGCCGAGGCUCAUGACUUGUGAAAGAAGUUCCCUGACCCUUCCCCUCUCUCAUUAGCAACACCAGGACCACUCUCCCAAAGGAGUUUACAUUUUUGGUUUAUUCAUGGAGGGGGCACGAUGGGAUCCUGAACAGGAAGUGCUGGAAGAUUCGCUGCCCACUCAGUUAUGCUGUGAAUUUCCCGACAUGCUCUUUUUGCCAACAAAGAUUACUGAACCCUCCCCCUCCCAGGAUUCUGAGCAGACAGCCUCAGAACUGCAAACUUUUGAGUGUCCAGUUUACUACACGCCCGAGAGGUCAAGAAACACAAUUGGCUUACCAACACCUGUGCUAACAUCAGUGCAUUUACCCACGAAGAAACCUCCUAGUCACUGGAUCACCAUGCAGGUUGCACUGCUGUGUGAGAAGAAUGAAUGAAUAAACACCCACAGCAAACCAGUCUAAGUCUGGGCUCUUCCUACACAUCCAUGCAUGAGGACGGUCACACGCAGGUGCCUAGCCAAACCUAGCAGAUGUGUGGGAGACGUCAACAGGCAAGCAGUGGCUGUGCGGUCUUUCAUAGAUCACAGAGGCUUCUGCUAUGCAUAUAUAUUUGCUUCAAAGUGUUACAGAACCUAUAACAGUUUUAAGCACUUGGUGUUCUUAAAUAGCAAAGAGAAAACACGACCAGUUUUAGGAAUUCUAUCCCUACCCCUAGACCCUCAGAUUCCAUGGUUGGAAUUUUUUUAAGACAAGGUCUCCCUCUCUAGCCCAGGAUGGCCUCAAAUACAAAGAUCCUCCUGACCUGCUGCAGUGACAGGGGUGAGCCACCACUGAGUCAGGCUCUAGCAUCUUUGCUAAGUCAGUCCCUGGGUUCCUACAGUUCAGAAAGACUCAAAAAAGGAAAACAGGGAGGGGAGUGGUAUGGCAAAACAGACUUGGCCAUCUUGCUGUCGGCAAUCCCAAAGCUGUGGCAGAGAGAAAUGAGGCUCUAACAGCAACUCUUUAUUUUCAACUUUCUGUUUCCAACCAAAAUUUUAUUACAAAGCUUGCCAAACAUCAAAUUAAAAACAACUUGCACCUAAUAUCCAGAUACUGUGGCACUGCCUGCCCUUUCAGAACCAGGCAAAGAACCCCAAGUUUCCUUGUAAGCUUAUUAACACAGACCAUGUCGAUUGCAGUAGAAACGAAAGCAUGACAGAAAAACACCUGAACACCUUAGGACUAGUAAAACAGUGAAGGGUUAGAGACUGCAGAGUGCAGCACGUCACGAUCGGACGAGCACAGCCACUUUACACUCUAAGCUACGGAGCAGGAUGAUGUGAACAUUCUGCAUCUAGCUCACAUGUGAUAUGUGUAAUAGAAACCCAAAUGUACUCUAUAUACUGCAUCCUUAUGUUUACUCUGAGGACAAUGCAGCUUUGAAUAAAAAAAUCUAG
Molecule: long non-coding RNA, 1662 nt
Filed under: Mus pahari (shrew mouse)
Lineage: Eukaryota; Metazoa; Chordata; Mammalia; Rodentia; Muridae
Description: lncRNA (MGP_PahariEiJ_G0006120.1)
Source: RNAcentral